This 2158-nucleotide ribosomal RNA is filed under the name Candidatus Wolfebacteria bacterium GW2011_GWA1_44_24. Its description in RNAcentral is "bacterial LSU rRNA". It matches the Rfam family "Bacterial large subunit ribosomal RNA". The record is from RNAcentral. Lineage: Bacteria; Candidatus Wolfeibacteriota.
UUAAGGGCGUAUGGUGGAUGCCUUGACAUCAAACAGCGAUGAAGGACGUGGCGUAGCUGCGAUAAGCUUCGGGGAGGCGCCUAGCAGCCUGUGAUCCGGAGAUUUCCGAAUGGGGAAACCUAAUACAGUAAACCUGUAUUACUCCGACAUUAAUGUCGGAGUGUGCACCCGCUGAAGUGAAACAUCUCAGUAAGCGGCGGAAAAGAGAAAAAUUUUAUUCCCUUAGUAGCGGCGAGUGAAAAGGGAAGAGCCCAAACCAAAGAUGUAGAUAGCAAUAUUUAUAUAUCUGGUGUUGUAAGGUAGAGACGCUGUUUUGCUUAUCGCAAAGCUUUCAAUUUUGGAAAGUUUUGCGAUUUGCGGAAUAAGAGAGAGUUACAAAUUUAUUUGUUAGCCGAAUCCGCUGGAAAGCGGAACCAUAGCGGGUGAAAGUCCCGUAGGCGAAAACGAAUAAACUCUUUAGUUUCUAUUCUUGAGUACCUCGAGGACAGAAUGCUUCGAGGGAAUCUGCCGGCACUAUCCGGUAAGGCUAAAUAUGUUUGAUGAUCGAUAGUGAACUAGUACCGUGAGGGAAAGGUGAAAAGUAGGCCGGCGAGGCCGAUGAAAUAGAAUCUGAAACCAUAUGUCUACAAGGAACGGAAGCUCAACCCCGCAGCAAUGCGGGGCGAGCAACCGUGUGCCUAUUGAAGAAUGAGCCAACGACUUUAUAUAAAUCGUUUGUCUAAGCUUUACGGAGCGGAGGCAAAGGGAAACCAAGUGUUAAAAGCGCGUCAAUAACGGUUUAUAUAAGACCCGAAGCCAGGCGAGCUUGCCCUGGCCAGGAUGAAGUGGGGGUAAAACCCCAUGGAGGUCCGAACCGGUGAGUUGUGCAAAACUCUCGGAUGAGCUGGGGUAAGAAGUGAAAAGCUAAUCGAGCUUGGUAAUAGCUGGUUCUCUCCGAAAUAGCUUUAGGGCUAGCGGCUGUUAUAAAUUUUUUAGGGGUAGAGCGACUGGUUCGAAAGUAAAGAGCGAAAGCUCAGCUUCCGAGUCAAACUCCGAAUACUAAAAAAUCAGAGCAGCUAGUUAGAACAUGGGGGCUAAGGUAGCCAUCCUUUAAAGAGUGUGUAACAACUCACUAUUCGAUGGCGGGUUGCGCCGAAAAUUUACCGGGGCUAAGCAAAUUACCGAAGACACGGAUUGUCUCGCUUUCGAGCGAGGCAGUGGUAGGAGAGCAUUUCAAACGCGCUGAAGGUUGACCCGCGAGGGCGGCUGGAGUGUUUGGAAGAGAGAAUGUUGGUAUGAGUAACCACAAUCCGCCUGAGAAUGGCGGACCCCGAAAAUCCAAGGUUUCCUCCGUAACGGAAAUCGGCGGAGGGUUAGGCGAUCCUAAGGCAAUGGCGAAAGCCGCAGCUGAUGGGAAGCUGGUUAAUAUUCCAGCCCUUUCUUUGUUUUCGACGGGGUGACGAAGGAAAUAAAAAUGAGCGCCUUAAUGGUUUGGCGUUGCUUAUUUUAAGAAUUUUCCGACUAGAAAAUCUGUCGGAACGCUUUACGGCAAAAUUCAAAAAUCGGCAAAAUUCGUCUUCGGAUAAAAAUUCGUUUGAAGAGCCUUCCAAGAAAAACCUCUAAGGUUAGAGCAAAGAAAAUCGUACCGUAAACCGACACUGGUGGAUAGGGCGAGAAGCCCAAGGGGAACGGGUGAUUCCUCGUUAAGGAACUCGGCAAAAAAGCGGCCGUAAGUUCGCAAUAAGGCCUUCCCCCACCACUUUUAUCAGAAGUAUUUAAUAUAUUUUCGAUAUAUUAUUUAUAUAAUAAUAUUUGAAAAUGUAGAAAGUGUUUGUUGUAAAAGUGGUGGGGGACGCAGCGAAAGUAUCUCUGGCGACUGUUUAUCAAAAACACAGCUCCCUGCGAACUCGAGACAGGUUGGUCUCUAUCUGUUGCAGGCGUUGAAGUUUGAGGGAAGUUGAUCCUAGUACGAGAGGACCGGAUUGAACGAAUCUCUGGUCUACCGGCUUUGCCACCAGGUGAAGCGCCGGGUAGCUAUGUUCGGCAGGGAUAAGCGCUGAAAGCAUCUAAGCGCGAAGCCCAUCCCAAGAUUAGACUUCAAGACUCGUGGAAGACUACCACGUUGAUAGGCUUCAGGUGUAAGCGCGGCAACGCGUUUAGCCGAGAAGUACUAAUAAGU